This 638-nucleotide ribosomal RNA is filed under the name Burkholderia sp. IBb371. RNAcentral's name for it is "bacterial SSU rRNA". It matches the Rfam family "Bacterial small subunit ribosomal RNA", at positions 374 to 1006 of the family's 1533-position model. The record is from RNAcentral. Lineage: Bacteria; Pseudomonadati; Pseudomonadota; Betaproteobacteria; Burkholderiales; Burkholderiaceae.
GGCGCAGCCUGAUCCAGCAAUGCCGCGUGUGUGAAGAAGGCCUUCGGGUUGUAAAGCACUUUUGUCCGGAAAGAAAACCUCGUGGUUAAUACCCGUGGGGGAUGACGGUACCGGAAGAAUAAGCACCGGCUAACUACGUGCCAGCAGCCGCGGUAAUACGUAGGGUGCAAGCGUUAAUCGGAAUUACUGGGCGUAAAGCGUGCGCAGGCGGUUCGCUAAGACAGAUGUGAAAUCCCCGGGCUUAACCUGGGAACUGCAUUUGUGACUGGCGGGCUAGAGUAUGGCAGAGGGGGGUAGAAUUCCACGUGUAGCAGUGAAAUGCGUAGAGAUGUGGAGGAAUACCGAUGGCGAAGGCAGCCCCCUGGGCCAAUACUGACGCUCAUGCACGAAAGCGUGGGGAGCAAACAGGAUUAGAUACCCUGGUAGUCCACGCCCUAAACGAUGUCAACUAGUUGUCGGGUCUUCAUUGACUUGGUAACGUAGCUAACGCGUGAAGUUGACCGCCUGGGGAGUACGGUCGCAAGAUUAAAACUCAAAGGAAUUGACGGGGACCCGCACAAGCGGUGGAUGAUGUGGAUUAAUUCGAUGCAACGCGAAAAACCUUACCUACCCUUGACAUGUAUGGAACCCUGCUGAGA